RNAcentral lists this ribosomal RNA (1020 nucleotides) under uncultured organism. RNAcentral describes it as "bacterial SSU rRNA". It matches the Rfam family "Bacterial small subunit ribosomal RNA", at positions 44 to 1108 of the family's 1533-position model. The record is from RNAcentral.
CUGCUUAACACAUGCAAGUCGAACGCAACCUUCGGGUUGAGUGGCGGACGGGUGAGUAACGCGUGAGAAUCUGCCUUGGGGUCGGGGACAACCACUGGAAACGGUGGCUAAUACCGGAUAAGCCUUUGGGUAAAAGAUUUAUUGCCCCAAGAGGAGCUCGCGUCUGAUUAGCUAGUUGGUGAGGUAAAAGCUCACCAAGGCAGCGAUCAGUAGCUGGUCUGAGAGGACGAUCAGCCACACUGGGACUGAGACACGGCCCAGACUCCUACGGGAGGCAGCAGUGGGGGAUUUUCCGCAAUGGGCGAAAGCCUGACGGAGCAAGACCGCGUGAGGGAGGAAGGCUCUUGGGUUGUAAACCUCUUUUCUCAGGGAAGAAGCUCUGACGGUACCUGAGGAAUCAGCCUCGGCUAACUCCGUGCCAGCAGCCGCGGUAAUACGGAGGAGGCAAGCGUUAUCCGGAAUUAUUGGGCGUAAAGCGUCCGCAGGUGGCGAUUCAAGUCUGCUGUCAAAGCACGGGGCUUAACUCCGUUAAGGCAGUGGAAACUGAAUAGCUAGAGUGCCGUAGGGGUAGAGGGAAUUCCCGGUGUAGCGGUGAAAUGCGUAGAGAUCGGGAAGAACAUCGGUGGCGAAAGCGCUCUACUGGACGGCAACUGACACUCAGGGACGAAAGCUAGGGGAGCGAAUGGGAUUAGAUACCCCAGUAGUCCUAGCUGUAAACGAUGGAUACUAGGUGUAGCUUGUAUCGACCCGAGCUGUCCCGAAGCUAACGCGUUAAGUAUCCCGCCUGGGGAGUACGCACGCAAGUGUGAAACUCAAAGGAAUUGACGGGGGCCCGCACAAGCGCUGGAGUAUGUGGUUUAAUUCGAUGCAACGCGAAGAACCUUACCAGGGCUUGACAUGUCCGGAAUCCCGGUGAAAGCUGGGAGUGCCUUCGGGAGCCGGAACACAGCUGGUGCAUGGCUGUCGUCAGCUCGUGUCGUGAGAUGUUGGGUUAAGUCCCGCAACGAGCGCAACCCUCGU